Molecule: ribosomal RNA, 456 nt
Filed under: uncultured bacterium
Lineage: Bacteria
Description: SSU rRNA
Rfam family: Bacterial small subunit ribosomal RNA
Source: RNAcentral
AGAAUCAACGCUGGCGGCGUGCCUAACACAUGCAAGUCGAACGAGAAAGUGGAGCAAUCCAUGAGUAAAGUGGCGCACGGGUGAGUAACACGUGACUAACCUACCUUUUAGUGGGGGAUAACCUAGGGAAACCUGGGCUAAUACCGCAUAACACUUACGAGUCAAAGCAGCAAUGCGCUGAAAGAGGGGGUCGCGGCCGAUUAGCUAGUUGGCGGGGUAAGGCCCACCAAGGCAGUGAUCGGUAUCCGGCCUGAGAGGGCGCACGGACACACUGGAACUGAAACACGGUCCAGACUCCUACGGGAGGCAGCAGUGGGAAUUUGCGCAAUGGGGGAAACCCUGACGCAGCAACGCCGCGUGGAGGAUGAAGUCCCUUGGGACGUAAACUCCUUUCGAUCGGGACGAUAAUGACGGUACCGGAAGAAGAAGCCCGGCUAACUUCGUGCCAGCAGCCGC